Molecule: ribosomal RNA, 118 nt
Filed under: Oncorhynchus kisutch (coho salmon)
Lineage: Eukaryota; Metazoa; Chordata; Actinopteri; Salmoniformes; Salmonidae
Source: RNAcentral
GCUUACGACCACACGGCCUGAGUACGCCUGAUCUCGCUGAUCUCGGAAGCUAAGCAGGGUCGGGGCCUGGUUAGUACUUGGAUGGGAGACCGCCUGGGAAUACCAGGUGCUGUAAGCU